UGGUGGGACAGUGAGAUGAAAGAUGGUGGAGAAUUGAAUGGGAAACUCAAGCAAGCAAGGUCAUUUAGCCACUCACCCAAAGCUACCUCUAAGGGAGAGAUAUGGAGCAGUUCUUAAGGUAAUUGGCUUUAAAACUCCUUUUCUAACCUCGCAAUUAAACGAAAAGGAGGUCCCAAUUCAAACCCCAUGAAUAAUAUAUGUAUAUUGCAUAUUGUUUACGGAUCCAAUGGACUAUUUAAGUGAUAGACUCUGUAAAGGAUAUAUGAGGAAAUCAUCUUCAUCAUUAUUAUAUGGCUCCAAGUAUGUGAAUAAUUAUAAUUAGCCAUCCUUGUACUCCAGGAGAAAUCAGUUAAACCACCUAUGAUGGCUAAAGAUGGGAAAGCUCUAGAUGGGUUAUAAGCUUGGGGGUGGGGAGAAGAGAGAGUUUUAUCCCAGCAGCAAAUACAUCAGGGAAGCCAAGAUACAGAGAUUAGCCUAUGCAUGGAAGUUGGGUGGUACAGACUUUGAAAACCCAGCCUCAGUAGAGCAGAGGGAAGUGCAAUUGGAUGGGGAGGGUUAGCCUGGGUUCCCCACAAACGAAUGUGAACUCAGUGU
Molecule: long non-coding RNA, 594 nt
Filed under: Bos taurus (domestic cattle)
Lineage: Eukaryota; Metazoa; Chordata; Mammalia; Artiodactyla; Bovidae
Description: long non-coding RNA NONBTAT013549
Source: RNAcentral